AAAAUAUGAAGCAUCAAAUUACAUCACACAUACGAACAUUUAUAAUAUGAUUGCAUAAAUGUAAUUAAAGCAUAAGACAAAAGGGGAAAAUAUAAAAAGUAAAGGAAAGGAAAGGAGAGGCCAAACUCCAAAGACGAUGGCAUUGGCCACUUUAUUCAUACAAGUUGAUAAGUAGUCUACUAGAAACAGACAAUUAAUUAGUUACUUAUUGAGAUUUCAAACACAGUGCUUUGUGCAAAAGCAGCGACGGCGGAAGCCCCUGCAGACGCCACCGGUAAACCCCUCUGUCUUGCAAAUGUUGCCACAAUUUGUGCUACUAAAGCACAGACCCUUGAAACUGUGGCUCAGAGAUUCACAUACCCUUGCCUCCACAACAAUUGGCUCCAUCCCAGUGCCAAAAAUGAGGAGCAACAGCAAAAUUGCAGCUGAAAAGAACUUCAUAUUCAGAGAGAAAUAGAAAGAGAAAGAGAGGAUUUUGAGUUUAGUUGGGAAUGAGAGUUGAU
This 503-nucleotide unclassified non-coding RNA is filed under the name Hevea brasiliensis (rubber tree). Lineage: Eukaryota; Viridiplantae; Streptophyta; Magnoliopsida; Malpighiales; Euphorbiaceae. The record is from RNAcentral.